UACGUAGGUGGCAAGCGUUGUCCGGAUUUAUUGGGUUUAAAGGGUGCGUAGGCGGCCUAUUAAGUCAGUGCUGAAAUAUCCCGGCUUAACCGGGAGGGUGGCAUUGAUACUGAUGGGCUUGAGUAGAGUUGAGGUUGGCGGAAUUGACGGUGUAGCGGUGAAAUGCUUAGAUAUCGAGAGGAACACCUGCGGCGAAGGCGGGUUGCUGGGCUGACACUGACGCUGAGGCGCGAAAGCCAGGGGAGCGAACGGG
Molecule: ribosomal RNA, 253 nt
Filed under: uncultured bacterium
Lineage: Bacteria
Description: partial 16S ribosomal RNA
Rfam family: Bacterial small subunit ribosomal RNA
Source: RNAcentral